RNAcentral lists this ribosomal RNA (446 nucleotides) under uncultured bacterium. Its description in RNAcentral is "partial 16S ribosomal RNA". It matches the Rfam family "Bacterial small subunit ribosomal RNA", at positions 338 to 795 of the family's 1533-position model. The record is from RNAcentral.
CCUACGGGCGGCAGCAGUCGAGAAUCAUUCACAAUGGGGGAAACCCUGAUGGUGCGACGCCGCGUGGGGGAAUGAAGGUCUUCGGAUUGUAAACUCCUGUCAUGGGGGAGAAAAGUAAAAAGAUAGUACCACAAGAGGAAGAGACGGCUAACUCUGUGCCAGCAGCCGCGGUAAUACAGAGGGCCCAAGCGUUGUUCGGAAUGACUGGGCGUAAAGCGUGCGUAGGCGGUUUGGUAAGUCGUGUGUGAAAGGCGCGGGCUCAACCCGCGGACGGCACAUGAUACUGGGAGACUAGAGUAAUGGAGAGGGAGGCGGAAUUCUCGGUGUAGCAGUGAAAUGCGUAGAUAUCGGGAGGAACACUCGUGGCGAAGGCGGCUUCCUGGACAUUAACUGACGCUGAGGCACGAAGGCCAGGGGAGCGAACGGGAUUAGAUACCCUGGUAGUC